GUUUUAUUGAAUAUAAUUUUAAGUCAAAUCUGCUCAAUGAUAACUAUUUAUUAAAUAGCUGCAGUAUUCAUAACUGUACAAAGGUAGCAUAAUAAUUAGUUUAUUAAUUAUAAACUUGUAUGAACGAUUUAAUGAAAUAAAUACUAUUUCAAAUUAAAAUAAUAAAUUUAUUUUUUAAGUAAAAAAACUUAAAUAAAUUUAAAAGACGAGAAGACCCUUUAGAAUUUUAUAAUUUAAAUCAUUUAUUAAUUUAAAUAAAUAAUGUAAAUUAUUUAAUUGGGGAGAUUAUAAAAUUUAAUAAACUUUUAUUUAAAAAAACAAAAAUUAUUGAAUAAAAUAUAUUUUUUUAAAAAAAUUAAAAUAAAUUACCUAAGGGAUAACAGCAUAAUUUUUUUUUUAAGUUCAAAUUAAUAAAAAAGUUUAU
This 424-nucleotide ribosomal RNA is filed under the name Cardiochiles floridanus. RNAcentral describes it as "partial 16S ribosomal RNA". Lineage: Eukaryota; Metazoa; Arthropoda; Insecta; Hymenoptera; Braconidae. The record is from RNAcentral.